This 6350-nucleotide long non-coding RNA is filed under the name Sus scrofa (pig). RNAcentral describes it as "lncRNA (ENSSSCG00000061843.1)". Lineage: Eukaryota; Metazoa; Chordata; Mammalia; Artiodactyla; Suidae. The record is from RNAcentral.
GGAUUGCAUCUUUCAGUCCUAGUUUUAAACCGAAGUCAAUCCUCUGCUCUGACUCAGACAGUGAAGUUUUCCACCCCAGGAUAUGUGGCGUUGACAGAACACAGUACAGGGCUAUUCGCAUCUCUCCUAGGACUCACUUUCGCCCAAUUUCUGCAUCUGAACUGUCCCCGGGGGGAGGAAGCGAGUCGGAAUUUGAAUCUGAAAAAGACGAAGCAAAUAUUCCCAUUCCUUCUCAAGUUGACGCAUUUGAAGAUCCGCAGGCAGACCUCAAACCACUGGAAGAAGAUGCAGAGAAGGAAGGCCAUUACUAUGGAAAUCAGAGCUGGAGUCUGGAAAAUUCCUUCCCAGGUUAAAAAAAUCUGGAAUGGAAAAGAGUGCUCAGACAUCACUGGAUUCCCAGGAGGAAUCAGCUGGGAUUCUGCCAGUGGGAAAGCAGAGUCAGUGUUUGGAGUGUAGCAUGAAUGAAUCUCUGGAGAUCGACUUAGAAAGCUCAGAAGCAAAUUGUAAAAUGAUGGCACAAUGUGAGGAAGAACUUAAUCAUUUUUGCAGUUGCAAGGCAGGUUGUCAGUUCCCUGCUUACGAAGAUAAUCCGGUUUCUUCAGGACAGCUGGAAGAGUGUCCCUUUACGGACCUUGCAUUUCACCUGGUUCCAGAUGGGGAAGAAAGAAAAAGCGGCAAGAAGGGAGAUUCCACAUCAUAUCACUACCGUAUGCCUUCGCUUGCUAGUACGUGGAUAUAUUUACGUGUUACCAGAAGGCCGAGUUGUCUGGAAAGGUCUCGGCUGCCCAUGCCGUCCCCUGUGGGCGCCAGGGUCGUCCCGCAGCCUGGCUGCUGUCGCUGCUCUCAGCCCUGUCUCGGCAGCACACCUGCCGCUUAGAGCUCACGGCACAGGUUCAUCUAAGGGGCAGAAAGUCUGCGAGAGUGGCCUGAAGGGACAGUUCUGGGCCAGGCUGGGACCAGAACCUGUGCCGUUCACGCUCUCACACUGCCGGUCAGUCUUGGGGAGCUCCUGCCAGGCUCUGCUUUCCCCUUCUCUGAGUGAGGGCAGUCGUUACGGAGGGCCCAGCUCCGUUUUAAAAGUCACUCAGUUGCCCGUCUGUUUCAGAGCAAGUGGUCUAAAAUGUGGGAUUUCUAAUGGGAUGGGUACCUGGGAACAUGUCUUUUCAAAAGUUGAGUUGAGUUCAGCUCAGCCAACAUUAAGUAGACACUCAGCUCCUCACACCCGUUGCGGAGGUGGACGCCCGGGGCGACCGCGACGCCGUCCUCGUCCGGGAGAGUUCGGUCUCGUCCUGAGGACCAGUUUGUCUUCACUGCCGCAGGCAGUUCCCUCCUGUGUUCAAAUUCAGAAGGCACGAGGGGGUGCGUACACAGUGGACCCCCCCGCCCCAGCAUCAGCCACGAUGCUUGUAGGAACAGAUCCGUGUUCACGGAUGUUGCCUCCUACUCUUUUUUUUUUUUUUUUUUUAACUGAAAUGACACCCUUUCCUCUUACAUUUUCUGCAUAUUAUUCCAUUGUAUGGCUGUGCCAAGAUUAUCUAGCCAGUUCGUUAUCAUUUAGGGUGUUUGGGCCAAUGUAAUUUUAGGCAGCAUGGAAGGUGGCCUAGGGAGAGUGAGCACGGGGUGCUGUGGGAACCCAGAGGGCAACCGUCCCAGCCGCUGGGAGUUAGUUAGGAAGGGUAUUUUGCACCUACCUGAGCAUCCAGGGCCAAAAGGAGGCAGGACACUCUAGGCGGAAGAAACAGCGUAGCCCAGAGAUGAAGGGGUUUGCACUUUGCCACGUGUGCAGGGCAGCUGCCCACACUCAGGUCACGGCGCCGAGCCGCGCGCCCAGCUCUCCCUUUGUGCCCGCACUUGCGGCAGAAGUGUUAUGUCAUUUGCUUGAUUGCUGACUCCAUGCCAUGCACUGUAGACUACAGGGAAGCAGCAGCAGGCUUAGCCCUGUUUUCGGGGAUUUGCCGCCCAGGGGAGGAGCCUGGGAGUCCGAAGGUCUGACCGUCAAGGGCCGUCCUGGGGGUUGGAGCCCACCCGCUCUGCCGACUGCUUUGUCCCCACCAUCCUACUCAGUGUCCACGGCGACUUUCUGCACUAGGUUUGUUCCCCCAUGACCGCGGAGGACACGCUGAGGCCACGCAGGCCCAGAAGGUGGGCUGCCUGCCCGGGAGCCCGUGUGAGGCCAGAGCCCACGUGCUUUAUGCUCUGCACCUGCUUGGCAGUCACCGGGCAGCACAGCCCGGCAUGGGCGGCGCGUGGCUCCUGCUGCUCUCCGUUGCCCAGGACACCUCUCCACUCACAUUUCCUUUCUCCUCCUCCAAAGCACAGGCUCGUAGGAGGCUUGCUUCUCCUCUUGUGACCCACAUAACUGAGAAGUGGCUGUUCAGCAGGAAGGUGCUCUCGGGGCUCUGUCCCCAUGGCAGCGCUCAAAGAGGAAUAGCGAGCACCGUUCUCCUCCCCAGACUAGAAAUGUUUGUGAGAAUUAAAAGUGGUGAGCCUCUGUCUAACUUCCAUCUUCUGGAGAACGACUGAGUGUUACAUCUCUUGCUAAAGAUGUUUCUAGUAAGCCUUUCUGGAUGAAGGGCUUAUCUUCUCCCCCCGCACUGUUUCUUCAUUCAUUCUUCAAGUGUUAAGGGCUACUGCGUGCUACUAUUCUAGGGUGUGAUUGUAGGUGCUGAGUGUAAAGGCGUUUGUGGAGGUAGAGUCAGUGCCCAGCGGCACGUGAGAAGCUGGGUGAGAAUACCAGUGCUGCGGGAAAGAGCCGGAGGGGAGAGGUGGUGGGCGGAAGUGCUCGGAGGAGUUGGCGGUGAUAAGUACGGGUCAGGGCAGGCUUCCUCGCAGAGGUACAACUGAAGAAAGGCUUACAGGCGGAGAGGGAGCCAAGAAGCUCUUUGGAGCUUCUUUGGGGGUGCCUGGGGGGAGUGUUCUGUUCUGUUUUCCAUUUCCUCCGUUCCUUCAUUCCUUCCAUUCUCAACCAAACCGGAAGUUGAAUGAAUACAGUAAACAGGCAUCAUUUACACAAAGCACAGUCCUCUUUGCUGCAGCCUGAAAGUUGGAAAUGGCUGAGUGGAAAGAUGUUUCCAUGUGUAUACUUGCUGACUGUGAAUUCACUGUAGCCCCAAACAGGACAGAUGCGUCCCUGCUGUUGGGAUUGACUUUCAGAUGGAGGAUGCGGAAGAAAUCCUAGAACUGUGCCAGAGCCUGCAGGGCCGAACAGUGGUUUCAGCAGCGAGAGGGAAAUGGUGCCGGAUGGUCAGGACCUUGGGCCAGUUGGAGCCUCUUCUCAAAGCCAGCAGACACUGGCUGUCUCCUUCGUGCCAGGCCCUGUUCCUGGGGUGGGGGGUCAGUGAGGCGUGGCCCCUGCCCUAGAGCUCACCGUCUGAUCCCCCUUGAUUCCGACCUCCUCCUCUUCGUGCCAACCCAGCCCCUCGCCACCCCGACCCCUCCCGCCUGCCCUGCCCUGCCCAGUCCGUCCUGAUGAAUUCCCUUCCCUUUCUUGCCCUUCACCCCACUCCACAAUGUCAGUAACGGUUGAAGAAUAAGCAGCCUAACUACACUCGUGUGAGUGGAACACUGACGCUUCCAUAGCCUGCCCCCUCCGUCUUCCUUCUCAAAUAGGAGCUUGUUACCUUCCAGUCCGUCUCUCUGAGUAGUGCCUGGGAGCUGAGGGGGAGAGUUCUGUGCAGGGAGCCUUCCUGGCUCCUCCUGAGAAACCCUCCCCGAGAACAGGUGUGCCUGGGAGGGAAGGCAGGGACUUUCCAGAAAGGUCUCACCCUGCUCUGAGUUAGGGGCCAGACGCAGGAAUCACCUUGAUGUCACUGCAGGCCUUGCACAUUGCUGGCUUCAUUUGCAUUAAGCCUGGCCUCAUCAGUGCAGCCGGCCUUGGUGUCUGUUUAUCUAAUAGCUUUACUAAUUUUCAUGGUUAGAGUAAGCUGUGGGAGAAAAUGGUGAAGGUUAACUGACCACUCUGGUUAGACGAUACAGUUCUUCAGUUUCUCAUUUAGGAGUAUUUCUGAAAUGUAUUUCCCAUUUAAAUAAUAAAAAAGACAUUACUGAAUCAAAAAGGUUUUGGUAAAAAUAAAGUAAAAUGAUUUACAUUUCGAAGAAUAACAAGAUCCUGUUAGAAAACUGAGGGUCAUCAGUUGCUAAAACAGUUCAGGUUUUAAACGUGGAGAUAUAACGAACUGUCUUCUAAAACAGCGAAGACACACGCAGUGUUCACAGGUCCUGCCCAUUGAGCAGACACUUGUUGAGACCGUGAGGGGCCGUUGGGGGCCGUGGGAGGUACGGAGAUGCCCAGAGCAGACCUGACCCUGGGGGUAGGGGUGUGGUCGGGCGCAAUGAGGAGGGAGCCUGGAAGAGGGUGGCCCUGACCCCGCCUACCAGAUACACCCAGGGUGGCUGCAGCGAGCCGCAGCUGGUAUCUGUGACCACCAGCCACACUGCAUCUGGUCCUCGCUGCCCGGGUGGGUGGGUGAGGUCCAGCUGGGACUUGAGAGCGCCACCAGCGAAGGGUGGAGCCUGGGUUCCGACUGGCAUUCAUUCCCCUUCCGGACAUGGGAGGGCCACGAACAUGCACGAAGGACAGGUCUUUCCUGCUCUCAGGAGUCCUGCCCUUGUCCCUUUUUGAGGUCUGUUUCCUGUUUUGAAUGUGAAAUACUGUCAGCUUCAUUAUUUAGUUUUGGUCUCAAUUUCCUUCUGGUUCUCACUGGAGCAGAUAAUCCUGUUGUAAAGACACUAGCUUGGUAACUCUGCCUGUAUAGCAUCCUUCUGUCCCAUUUCGCCUUUGACUCCUUCACACACGCGGGUGAGAGGCCUCCCUCUUUUCCCUCAAGCAUCUCACACUAGCGGAGGCUCAAGGCCCCCCUUCUUUCUUGCAAAAUCUAGAAACUUCCUUACUUAAGGGUGUGUCCUGUUAUGUUGCUGUCUUGUAAGAGUUUUGUUGUGUUUUUUAAAAAGAUUUUUCAUUCCCUUUCCUAUAUAAAGUGCUUCAUAAGAAAAACUUCCUUUGUAUGCUAUGCACACUUUGGUUUUUUAAAUUCAGCUUGUCUAGGCGUUCCCUUUGUGGCACAGUGGAAACAAAUCCAACUAGGAACCAUGAGGUUGUGGGUUCGAUCCUGGCCUGGCUCAAUGGGUUAAGGAUCCUGCGCAGCUGUGGCUGUGGUGUGGGUCGGCAGCAUCAGCUCCGAUUCGACCCCUAGCCUGGGAACUUCCACAUGGCGCGGGUGUGGCCUUAAAUGAAUAAAUAAAUAUCCUGAGAUCAUAGUCCCUAGUUAAUGAUGCUUGAAUUUUUGCCUCUAUCUUGAAAGUUUGUAAACUUGUUCUGUAUUUGGUUUAAUCUAAACAGUUUCCUGUAUUGAACACUGAUGUACAAGGAAUGAAUAGAAGUCAAGAAAAACAGACCUGGUGGGAAAAAGCCUUGUACUCCCCUCUUUUUCCUGCUGCAGAGUGUGAAGGUAAGGAGCCCUGCGCUUAGCUCGUUCCUUCAUCCGCUCCGACUCCUGAUUCAUUAAGAGCAGUAAGGUCUUUUGCUGUGAAUAUCCCUCCAAGAACCCUUUGGCCAGCGUUUGUCAGGCACUGGGGACACAGAGAUGGACGAGGACUGGACCCCGCUCUUAAACGUGCCACGGCUUGAUGUGGGAAUGCGUGAAAGCAGUGCUGGCCUUUGGUAGGGUGUGUGCACACUCCGGUGGGUGGUGGAGGAGGACCUCCUCGGCUCUGGGGGGCCUGCCGGAGGCCCCCACUGGAAAGGUCAGGGAUGGGCAGUCCCUGGGGGAGAAGGGCCUGAGCCAUGGCAGGUGGGUCUGCAGCGGAGGAGGCGAGACCUGGCCUCUGGGCCCACUGGGCCGCAGCCAGGUUGGAGAGGCAGGCAGGGCAGGGCAGGGCUGAGCUGUGGGGAGGGUCGGUGGUUCUGCUGAGCUGGUCGAUGUGAACAGACAGGAGGAGCAGUGCCGUCUGCUUAAAGAUUUCGCCUGGGAGGGUCGGGUCCGGUGUGUGUUUUAACACCUGUUCCAGCAGCAGUGGAGGAGGGGAGCAGUUGAAAAGCUGACGGGCACCUGCGGGGUUCGCCCAGCGGCCUGGGCCUGGCAGGGUAGGCGCCUGGACUGGGGCGCCCUUGGGGGAGUAGAGGAUAAAGGUCGGCAUCAAGAGGUGGUGGGAGUCCCUGUUGUGCUCGGUGGAAUGAGCCUGAUAGGAUCCAGGAGCAUGCGGGUUUGCUCCCUGGCCUUUGCCGUGAGCUGUGAUGUAGAUUGCAGAGGAGGCUCAGAUCCCACAUUGCUGUGGCUGUGGUGUAGGCUGGCAACUGCAGCUCUGAUUCAACCCCUAGCCUGGGAACCUCCCUAUGCCUCAGGUGCAGCCCU